GUGGCAGGGGCGGCGGUAAGACGAAGGUGGCUAGCGUUGUUCGGUGUCACUGGGCUUAAAGCGUAUGUAGGCGGGACUGUAAGCGUCUUGUGAAAUCCCCCGGCUUAACCGGGGAAUUGCUUGGCGAACUAUAGUCCUUGAGGCAAGUAGGGGUGCAUGGAACUCUUGGUGGAGCGGUGGAAUGCGUAGAUAUCAAGAGGAACGCCGAUGGAGAAAUCAGUGCACUGGGCUUGUCCUGACGCUGAGAUACGAAAGCGUGGGGAGCGAACGGGAUUAGAUACCCCGGUAGUCCACGCCGUAAACGAUGUCUACUAGAUUGCGGGAGUUCUGACACUCUCGCGAUCGGAGCAAAAGUGUUAAGUAGACCGCCUGGGGAGUACGGUCGCAAGGCUAAAACUCAAAGGAAUUGACGGGGGCUCACACAAGCGGUGGAGCAUGUGGAUUAAUUCGAAGCAACGCGCAGAACCUUACCUGGGUUUGACAUGCUUGGAUGCCAAUCUGGAAACAGAGGAAGCUACCUUCGGGUGAAACUUGCACAGGUGCUGCAUGGCUGUCGUCAGCUUCGUGUCGUGAGAUGUCGGGUUAAGUCCUUUAACGAGCGAAACCCUUGCCCGUUAGUUGCCAGCGAGUAAUGUCGGGGACUCUAACGGGACUGCCGGUGUUAACCGGAGGAAGGUGGGGACGACGUCAAGUCAUCAUGGCCUUUAUGCCCAGGCUUCACACGUGCUACAAUGGCAACGACAGAGCGACGCAAUACCGCGAGGUGGAGCAAAUCGCAAAAACGUUGCCCCAGUUCGGAUUGCAGGCUGACAACUCGCCUGCAUGAAGUUGGAAUCGCUAGUAAUCGCGUAUCAGCUAUGACGCGGUGAAUAUGUUCCUGAGCCUUGUACACACCGCCCGUCAAGUCACGGAAGUUGGGAGUACCCGAAGUCGGAUUACUAACCUUUUAUUAGGAAGUGUUUGCCGACGGUAAGCCCGAUGACUGGGACUAAGUCGUAACAAGGUAACC
This 1009-nucleotide ribosomal RNA is filed under the name uncultured Planctomycetota bacterium. RNAcentral's name for it is "bacterial SSU rRNA". It matches the Rfam family "Bacterial small subunit ribosomal RNA", at positions 505 to 1501 of the family's 1533-position model. Lineage: Bacteria; Pseudomonadati; Planctomycetota. The record is from RNAcentral.